RNAcentral lists this microRNA precursor (91 nucleotides) under Canis lupus familiaris (dog). RNAcentral's name for it is "mir-8799 microRNA precursor family". It matches the Rfam family "mir-8799 microRNA precursor family". The record is from Rfam by way of RNAcentral. Lineage: Eukaryota; Metazoa; Chordata; Mammalia; Carnivora; Canidae.
GGGGGGAAUCCAGAUCCUGGGCUGUGUCCCCGGUGCCCUGGACUCUCCGGCCUGUACUGCUGGAAUCGCGCUCCCGGCCGCACAGCCCCCU